Non-coding RNA from Taeniopygia guttata (zebra finch), 561 nucleotides. NCBI's taxonomy places the organism in Eukaryota, Metazoa, Chordata, Aves, Passeriformes, Estrildidae. The record is from RefSeq and is a predicted model, not a curated record.
GUUUGGGGGAAGCAAGGGACACUGAUGUUUAUCCCCCAAAAAGUUAUCUGCUUCUGCUGAGGGAUGAAGAGCCCCAGUCCUGCUGCUUGGAGCUCAUAAAAGAUGGUGUAGAGAGCCUGCCUUGUGUCUGGGGAGAUGGUCUGGAGCUUGCCUACUGGCUGUUGAUAUUGAACCCUCCAGGGGGACUGUAGCCUGGCUGGAUCUCUCUGUACCCCUGCAGCCCCCUGCCCCAGUGCUGUGACCAUGCUACAGUGGGAGACCUCUCUGGUGCUAAGGAUCUUGUAGCACCAUGCUCACACUUUGAGCUGGUGUGGCACCCCCCCAUCCUUUUUGUCUGAGAGCUGAAGCUGCCACUGGACUUGGACUCAGAUGGCAGGAGCAGGCAGGCACUCCCGGGAAAUGACACACUGUGCAUGACGGGAAUCGCGGAUCACAGCAGACACUGGCGAGGGAAGAGGCUGCUCCUCGCCCUGCUGUCCCCAGCGGAGGGAGGCCAUGGCACUACACCUGUGACUCCCCUCCACGUGGCACCUCUCCCCUGUAAGAGUGGAUGUAAAAGUU